This 85-nucleotide transfer RNA is filed under the name Planctomycetota bacterium. RNAcentral's name for it is "Planctomycetes bacterium tRNA-Leu". It matches the Rfam family "tRNA". From Rfam's summary of the family: Transfer RNA (tRNA) molecules are approximately 80 nucleotides in length. Their secondary structure includes four short double-helical elements and three loops (D, anti-codon, and T loops). Lineage: Bacteria; Pseudomonadati; Planctomycetota. The record is from RNAcentral.
GCCCAGGUGGCGGAAUUUGGCAGACGCGCUAGCUUGAGGGGCUAGUCUCCUUAUGGAGGUGCUGGUUCGAAUCCAGUCCUGGGCA